Molecule: long non-coding RNA, 2881 nt
Filed under: Heterocephalus glaber (naked mole-rat)
Lineage: Eukaryota; Metazoa; Chordata; Mammalia; Rodentia; Bathyergidae
Description: lncRNA (ENSHGLG00100046907.1)
Source: RNAcentral
GGGAUGCCAUUUGCUCUUUAUUAUUAUUCAUUAUCUUCUGGUACAGAAAGAGACAAAAUUUAACAGCUAAACUCAACAAUUGUAAACAGGGAGCAGAGAGCAAGAGAUCAGAAGCAGGCUCGUUGGCUGGCCCCAGGCUCCAGUGAAACCCUGACAUAUUACUGAAAGGACAGAUUUCCAGCUGACAUGGGUCAACACAUGAAGACGGGCACUGCAGAAAGUGGUGCCAAAAUGAGUCCACUUCACGGUGAUCAUUUCUAUAAGCUCAGUUGCACACAGCAGGGUUUGCACUGUCACAAAUACACAGUCACAGUGAGCUAGCGGGCGGGUGUGUUCAGGCCUGGGGAAGUGGCAUCUGAGCAAGGAGGAGACUGGCUGGGAGGCAGAAGCACAGCUGGGGGUGGGACCCGCUCAGACAACAGCACAGUGGAACAACUGUUGUGGCCUUGAGCCAGGGUGGGUGUGCUGUUCCCAUGUCUUUGUCAGAGAAAUUCUUGCUAGAGAGAGAGACUCCCCACCCACAGCCUGUGAAAGGAAAAACUCCUAAAGUUUGAAUAUUUGAGGGCGGAUGACAAGAGCAGCCAGUCUGCUAGUGCAACACUUGCUUUACAGAAUAUUUCAAAAGACACGUGCUUGUGUUUCAAUUGCACUCAAGUUCACGAACAAUAUUAUUCUCGUAGGAUAAAUACAGGAGUGGAGGAAAAGACUGCACUACCCUAACUCCCCAAGGUGGAGGGAAAACAAGGGGUUGCCCUGCCCACGGGCCUUGCAGAUGAGAACUGCCACGCCCCAAGGCACAAGGCACAUGGAGGGAUCCUUAAUACCUUGAGCUUUUCCUUUGAAAAAAGUACUCCUUUUAAACCAGAUUCCUCUUACACAGAAGACCCUGAAAAUGGAUCCAAGGGGAGAAUCUUUCCAGUAUUAUGUCCUAAGGAUCGUAGCUACUAUUGAAGUAUUUGAAAUUAUAGUUUUUUCCCCAAGUUUUGAAUUAGUGGGUUUCAGAUUAAUGGGCUUUUACUGUCAUUCCAAGCAGUGUGAUUACAGCACUUUUUAAAUUAACUAAUUAUACUGAUUAGUAUUAGCAGACGUCAGUGGGGAGGAUGUGCUUGUUUCUGAAUUGGCAAAGUUCCGAAACGGAGUUUCAUGCCUUAGCAAGGUGCACGAAGCCCAGCAGCCUCAGCCUUGUGCUAGAGAGACAGAUCCUCUCUCCUUCACCUUGCUCUCACUUGGACAAAGCAAUCUAGAGGCAGUGUUGAUGUUUUCUUUCUCCUGGGAUGCCUUCUGGGUGUCAGAUCAACUCUGCCUGGGGACUGGGAGUCUCCACCCACUGGGAGUGGGGAAGCAGCUGGCUCCAACUGCUCAACAAAAAAGACACUUUCCUGUCCCAAAUUCCUCAUAUUUGGGUACCAAAAAGACAUUGUCCAGCACAACAGGCAGACUCCCAUUUUCUAAGCACCCUAAGGAAUUCACACUAAUGGCAGUGGAUUGGCAAGUAGAAGUGGGGCCCUCGGCCUCCCGGUGGGGUGGGACUCCUCAGCCAGGGCUCGAGGCAGCCGUGUUGGGCACCCCGCUCUUACUCUUGUGCUUUCACUUGGGAAGCCCUAGGUGGUGGCCGUGGGGAAGGGACAGGAUUGUGACUCUGGUUUUUAAAAAGUCUUAAAAAUUUUUGGUUGAAAACAAGUGACAGUUCUAUUUCAGUGAAUUUUUUAAAGACUUUUCUUCUUUUUAAUUGAAAAAAUACCUAACUAGCCCACCACUCCCAAGUCAAUAGUCUCAGAUCUUUCUGUGAAAGAAAGGCAAGAAAGGGGGAGAGAGAGAGAGAGAGAGAGAGAGAGAGAGAGAGAGAGAGUCCAGGAGUGGUCAGAGUUCCCUCAGCUACUGAGGGCCGCAUAACAGGAGUGAGGAGGAGGGAGCAUCGUGCCAAACAAAGGGGCAUGUUGGGUCCCCCAGGGUGACGCUGCUUCAUCUUCUUCUCAAACCUUUUGAGGGAGGACAGAAGGCAGCGACCUUGGGGGGUUUUGACAGCUAGUCUCAGCUUUCCUCACUCAGGGCCCUGUCAUGAGGCUGCCCAGCCCAGGAGGCAACAUUUCUCCCCUCAGACUGGAUCCUCCUGGUAUAAAUAUAGCCGCACACUGGCUAUUGUUUCAGAGAAGCAAUGAGAAAAGGCGACGUGCACACAUGUGUACACAUAUACACACGUACACACACAAGUCCCAAAACAACCAAAAUGUGGCAACUGUAGUGUUAGCAUCAUAUCAAAUCAACAUUCAUACAAAGACAGCUUGAAAAGCUCUGUACAGGGCAUUCAUAAAAGCCAAGUGUGCACGGUUUGGAGCUCUGCACAGUCCUCCAGGAAGAGCUCCUCAGAGUGCCAGAGCCUAGGCCGCAGGCCACAAGGAGCAGCCUUAGGCUCUCCCUGCAGCCAGCCCUCGGGCCAAGGGAAGCACGCCGCCCUGGGGCCAGUCCCCGGGCUCCACUUCCUAGGCUCUCCCAGGGCCCAGCCUCAGGCCACUGGGCAGAUGCCUAAGGUGCUGGCCUUCCUGGCACACUCCCUCUGGCUCUGGUCAGGGGCAGGAGGAGAGGCCUUUGCUCAGGUCCUGCAGGUCACACUUAGGUCCCUGCUUGAGAAAAUACUGGGAGAACUGGGGCUGGCCCCAAGCUUCUGGCUUUCCUUCUGAGGUCCUCCAACAUGGCCGAAUGGGAUUGGGCCCAGGCUCCAUCAUGGAAAAAACAGAGACCUUCUAGACCAAAAAUCCCCUCCUGAGGAAGGGCAGAAGUGCAGUGCCAGAGGCCCAGGACUGGGCAAAAAGAAGGAAGGAAAGGUGGAAUGCCACCUGGUCGGCAUCUCUGGCAUCACAGAACUCAGGAAGGGCUGGAGGGC